Molecule: long non-coding RNA, 811 nt
Filed under: Homo sapiens (human)
Lineage: Eukaryota; Metazoa; Chordata; Mammalia; Primates; Hominidae
Description: long non-coding RNA NONHSAT160311.1
Source: RNAcentral
GUCUUGUCAUCCCUUGAACAAGUCUGUCUUCUCUCUCUUUUUUUUUUUGAGACAGAGUCUCGCUCUUUCGCCCAGGCCGGACUGCAGUGGCACUAUCUCGGCUCACUGCAAGCUCCGCCUCCCGGGUUCACGCCACUCUCUUGCCUCAGCCUCCCUAGUAGCUGGGACUACAGGCGCCCGCUACCGCGUCUGGCUAAUUUUUUGUAUUUUUAGUAGAGACGGGGUUUCACCCCGUUAACCAGAGAGAAUGGGCAAGGGGUCAUCGAUGGACCGGAGAUGGGAUGGUAGGGACAGAAACUGCAGGGUCCGCAGAAGGAACUGCUCACCGAAAGCCAACAAGCUUGCCCUGUGGAAUCCCAGAAAGGCCCAGGAACUUCGGGACAUCACUGAAGGCAGAGUGAAGAGAGGAAGAGAAGACAGAGAAAUGGAGGGGAGAAAACUAUUAAAAUAAGUAAUAAGAAAACUUUCCCCAGAAGUGCAGAAUCUGAAUUUCCAGUAUAAAAGGGUCCAUUGAGCGCCAAGAACAAUGAAGGAAAAAAGGUCCCACUCAGGCCUACGUAUCAUUGUGAAAUUUCAGAACUAGAGGGAUAAAGAAAAGAUCCUAAAAGCUUCCCGAGAGAUAAAAAAGAAGAUUUUUACAAAGGAUCAGCAAUCAGAAUUGCCUCAGACUGCUCAAUAAAAACAUCAGAAGCUAGAAGAAAAUAGAAUGAGGCAUCAAAAUCCUGAGGGAAAUGAUUCCCACCUAUAAUUUCAUAUUCUGCUCAAUUAUCAAUUGAGUAUUGAAGGGAAAUAAAGACAUUUUUAGACAUGC